RNAcentral lists this unclassified non-coding RNA (1093 nucleotides) under Hevea brasiliensis (rubber tree). Lineage: Eukaryota; Viridiplantae; Streptophyta; Magnoliopsida; Malpighiales; Euphorbiaceae. The record is from RNAcentral.
GACCCUCUCUUCCUCUAAAUAAUUUCAAAUUUCUUUGUUCUCCGAUUCUCUAAAUGGGUAUCUCUCAAUUUCAGAGAACAGUAAUCUCUCUUUUCUUUAUAAUUUUUCUCUUAAUAAGCUUAGAUAACUCGUGUCUAGCUGCAAGAAGGCUAACUGCACUCUAUCAACCGCCACCCUUGUCUCUUACAUACCAUAACGGUGCUUUGCUUGAAGGAAACCUUCCGGUCUCCAUUCUGUGGUAUGGUCAGUUCACGCCACCUCAAAAAUCCAUUAUAGCAGAUUUUCUUCUCUCUCUAAACACAUCGGCUCCUUCCACUUCUACACAACCUUCAGUCUCCUACUGGUGGAGCUUAAUCCAAUCCUACCUCAAAAAAGCAGGCAAAAAAGAGACUCAAGUACGUUUAUCAACCCAAAUUUCUGAUACAAACUGCUCAUUAGGCAAAAUCUUGAAGAAAUCCCAGAUAACCGAGUUGGCCACCAAGGUUAACUCAAAACCGGGUGGUUUAACCCUGGUCUUAACAGCUAAAGACGUUGCUGUUGAAGGAUUUUGCAUGAGUAACUGCGGCUUUCAUGGCUCAUACACUAAACAUGACUCGCCUUUUAUCUGGGUCGGAAACUCGGAGACUCAGUGCCCGGGUCAAUGCGCAUGGCCGUUUCACCAACCCAUUUAUGGACCACAAACUACACCACUAGGUGCACCGAACGGUGACGUAGGGGUAGAUGGCAUGGUCAUAAAUAUAGCUGGUAUUUUAGCCUGUACCGUAACGAACCCAUUCGGUAGUGGUUAUUACGUCGAGUCGGGUGGCAUCCCACUGGAAGCGGCUUCGGCUUGUACAGGUGUGUAUGGGAAAGGGGCGUACCCAGGUUAUGCUGGGGAGCUUUUAGUGGAUUCUAGCACCGGUGCUAGCUAUAAUGCUGUGGGUGUCCAUGGAAGGAAGUAUCUGUUGCCUGCUUUGUUUGAUCCAUCGAUUUCCGAAUGUUCUCCUAUCGUGUGAGCCAGGUGUGGCAGGUCGUGGCACUUAGUAAUUGGUGGUGAUCUGCUCUACUACUGUGAUAUUGUACAUAUGUAUGUAUCUGAAAACCGUGAAAUAAA